UACAGAGGGGGCAAGCGUUGUUCGGAAUUACUGGGCGUAAAGGGCGCGUAGGCGGCCUUCUAAGUCGAACGUGAAAUCCCCGGGCUCAACCCGGGAACUGCGUCCGAUACUGGAAGGCUUGAAUCCGGGAGAGGGAUGCGGAAUUCCAGGUGUAGCGGUGAAAUGCGUAGAUAUCGGAAGGAACACCAGUGGCGAAAGCGGCUUCCUGGUCCAGCACCGACGUUCAGGCACGAAAGCGUGGGGAGCAAACAGG
This 253-nucleotide ribosomal RNA is filed under the name uncultured bacterium. RNAcentral's name for it is "partial 16S ribosomal RNA". It matches the Rfam family "Bacterial small subunit ribosomal RNA", at positions 524 to 776 of the family's 1533-position model. The record is from RNAcentral.